RNAcentral lists this ribosomal RNA (157 nucleotides) under Prevotella sp. tf2-5. RNAcentral's name for it is "16S rRNA. Bacterial SSU". It matches the Rfam family "Bacterial small subunit ribosomal RNA", at positions 1 to 146 of the family's 1533-position model. Lineage: Bacteria; Pseudomonadati; Bacteroidota; Bacteroidia; Bacteroidales; Prevotellaceae. The record is from RNAcentral.
AUACAGUGGAGAGUUUGAUCCUGGCUCAGGAUGAACGCUAGCUACAGGCUUAACACAUGCAAGUCGAGGGGCAGCAUUGGGAUAGCUUGCUAUUCCAGAUGGCGACCGGCGCACGGGUGAGUAACGCGUAUCCAACCUUCCCCGUAGUAGGGCACAG